Molecule: ribosomal RNA, 334 nt
Filed under: uncultured eukaryote
Lineage: Eukaryota
Description: partial 18S ribosomal RNA
Rfam family: Eukaryotic small subunit ribosomal RNA
Source: RNAcentral
CCCUUAGAUGUCCGGGGCCGCACGCGCGCUACACUGAAGGAAUCAGCGUGGCUUUCUCCCUGACCCGAAAGGGUUGGGAAACCCGUUGAAUCUCCUUCGUGAUAGGGAUUGGGGCUUGAAAUUGUUCCCCAUGAACGAGGAAUUCCCAGUAAGCGCGAGUCAUAAGCUCGCGUUGAUUACGUCCCUGCCCUCUGUACACACCGCCCGUCGCUACUACCGAUUGAACGGUUUAGUGAGGGCCUCGGAUUGGUCUCGGCCCGCUCUUUACCGGGCGGCGCCGUUGGUCGAGAAGACGCUCGAACUUGAUCGUUUAGAGGAAGUAAAAGUCGUAACA